This 601-nucleotide ribosomal RNA is filed under the name uncultured bacterium. RNAcentral's name for it is "bacterial SSU rRNA". The stretch from base 1 to 519 matches the Rfam family "Bacterial small subunit ribosomal RNA", at positions 338 to 873 of the family's 1533-position model. The record is from RNAcentral.
CCUACGGGAGGCAGCAGUGGGGAAUUUUCCGCAAUGGGCGAAAGCCUGACGGAGCAAUACCGCGUGAGGGAGGAAGGCUCUUGGGUUGUAAACCUCUUUUCUCAGGGAAGAUAAUGACGGUACCUGAGGAAUAAGCAUCGGCUAACUCCGUGCCAGCAGCCGCGGUAAUACGGAGGAUGCAAGCGUUAUCCGGAAUGAUUGGGCGUAAAGCGUCCGCAGGUGGUUUUGAAAGUCUGCUGUUAAAGCGUGCGGCUUAACCGCAUAAGGGCAGUGGAAACUAUGAGACUAGAGUGCGUUAGGGGCAGAGGGAAUUCCCAGUGUAGCGGUGAAAUGCGUAGAGAUUGGGAAGAACACCGGUGGCGAAGGCGCUCUGCUAUACCGUAACUGACACUGAGGGACGAAAGCUAGGGGAGCGAAUGGGAUUAGAUACCCCAGUAGUCCUAGCCGUAAACGAUGGAUACUAGGCGUUGUCUGUAUCGACCCGGACAGUGCCGUAGCUAACGCGUUAAGUAUCCCGCCUGGGGAGUACGGCAGCGACUGUGAACUACAAAGAAGUUAGACGGCGUGAGACGUGCCGAACGGACGACGACGAGGGAGUAGG